AUUGAACGCUGGCGGCAGGCCUAACACAUGCAAGUCGAACGGUAACAGGAAGCAGCUUGCUGCUUUGCUGACGAGUGGCGGACGGGUGAGUAAUGUCUGGGAAACUGCCCGAUGGAGGGGGAUAACUACUGGAAACGGUAGCUAAUACCGCAUAACGUCGCAAGCCCAAAGAGGGGGACCUUAGGGCCUCUUGCCAUCGGAUGUGCCCAGAUGGGAUUAGCUAGUAGGUGGGGUAACGGCUCACCUAGGCGACGAUCCCUAGCUGGUCUGAGAGGAUGACCAGCCACACUGGAACUGAGACACGGUCCAGACUCCUACAGGAGGCAGCAGUGGGGAAUAUUGCACAAUGGGCGCAAGCCUGAUGCAGCCAUGCCGCGUGUAUGAAGAAGGCCUUCGGGUUGUAAAGUACUUUCAGCGGGGAGGAAGGGAGUAAAGUUAAUACCUUUGCUCAUUGACGUUACCCGCAGAAGAAGCACCGGCUAACUCCGUG
Molecule: ribosomal RNA, 490 nt
Filed under: uncultured bacterium
Lineage: Bacteria
Description: partial 16S ribosomal RNA
Rfam family: Bacterial small subunit ribosomal RNA
Source: RNAcentral